AGCAGCCGCGGUAAUUCCAGCUCCAAUAGCGUAUAUUAAAGUUGUUGCAGUUAAAAAGCUCGUAGUUGAAUUUCAGGCCUGGCUGGACGGUCCGCCCUUCGGGUGAGUACUGUCUGUGGUCGGGUCCUACCUUCUGGCGAAGCGUCAUGGCCUUAACCGGCCGUGGCGGGGAACCAGGACUUUUACUGUGAAAAAAUUAGAGUGUUCAAAGCAGGCAAUCGCUUGGAUACAUUAGCAUGGAAUAAUGGAAUAGGACAAUGGUUCUAUUUGUUGGUUUCUAGGACCGUUGUAAUGAUUAAUAGGGAUAGUUGGGGGCAUUAGUAUUCAAUUGUCAGAGGUGAAAUUCUUGGAUUUAUUGAAGACUAACUACUGCGAAAGCAUUUGCCAAGGAUGUUUUCAUUAACCAAGAACGAAAGUUAGGGGAUCGAAGACGAUCAGAUACCGUCGUAGUCUUAACCAUAAACUAUGCCGACUAGGAAUCGGGCGAUGUUGACAAAAUGACGCGCUCGGCACCUCAUGG
Molecule: ribosomal RNA, 520 nt
Filed under: uncultured Paraglomus
Lineage: Eukaryota; Fungi; Glomeromycota; Glomeromycetes; Paraglomerales; Paraglomeraceae
Description: SSU rRNA
Rfam family: Eukaryotic small subunit ribosomal RNA
Source: RNAcentral